AUGUAAAAUGACUCUCGGCAACGGAUAUCUCGGCUCUUGCAUCGAUGAAAAACGUAGCGAAAUGCGAUACUUGGUGUGAAUUGCAGAAUCCCGUGAACCAUCGAGUCUUUGAACGCAAGUUGCGCCCAAAGCCAUUAGGCUGAGGGCACGCCUGCCUGGGUGUCACAC
Molecule: ribosomal RNA, 168 nt
Filed under: Phaseolus maculatus (cocolmeca bean)
Lineage: Eukaryota; Viridiplantae; Streptophyta; Magnoliopsida; Fabales; Fabaceae
Description: 5.8S ribosomal RNA
Rfam family: 5.8S ribosomal RNA
About the family: 5.8S ribosomal RNA (5.8S rRNA) is a component of the large subunit of the eukaryotic ribosome. It is transcribed by RNA polymerase I as part of the 45S precursor that also contains 18S and 28S rRNA.
Source: RNAcentral